RNAcentral lists this unclassified non-coding RNA (300 nucleotides) under uncultured Ascomycota. RNAcentral's name for it is "sequence contains 5.8S rRNA gene, ITS2". The stretch from base 1 to 85 matches the Rfam family "5.8S ribosomal RNA", at positions 66 to 154 of the family's 154-position model. Lineage: Eukaryota; Fungi; Ascomycota. The record is from RNAcentral.
UGUAUAAGAGACAGGUGAGUCAUCGAAUCUUUGAACGCACAUUGCGCCCUUUGGUAUUCCGAAGGGCAUGCCUGUUCGAGCGUCAUUUCACCCAUCAAGCUACACUUGGUGUUGGGCGUUUGUCCCGCCAUUGCGCGUGGACUCGUCUCAAAGUAAUCGGCGGCCCGUAUUUGGCGUGUAGCACAGCAGACUGGUUGCUGCAACGCCCAAGAACGUGCCUGCCGCAAGGUAUCAUUUUGUUUUCGACCUCGGAUCAGGUAGGGAUACCCGCUGAACUUAAGCAUAUCAAUAAGCGGAGGA